RNAcentral lists this unclassified non-coding RNA (406 nucleotides) under soil metagenome. RNAcentral's name for it is "partial contains 5.8S ribosomal RNA, internal transcribed spacer 2, and large subunit ribosomal RNA". The stretch from base 1 to 121 matches the Rfam family "5.8S ribosomal RNA", at positions 35 to 154 of the family's 154-position model. The record is from RNAcentral.
GAUGAAGAACGUAGCGAAAUGCGAUAAGUAAUGUGAAUUGCAGAAUUCAGUGAAUCAUCGAAUCUUUGAACGCACCUUGCGCCCUUUGGCCAUUCCGAAGGGCAUGCCUGUUUGAGUAUCAUGAACACCUCAACUCUUCAUGGUUUUCCGUGAUGAGCUUGGACUUUGGGGGUCUUGCUGGCCUAUGGUCAGCUCCUCUAAAAUAAAUCAGCUUGCCAGUGUUUGGUGGGUAUCACAGGUGUGAUAACUAUCUACGCUUGUGGUUUUCCACCAGGUAACCUUCAGCAGUGGAGGUUCGCUGGAGCUCACAGAUGUGUCUCUCCUCAGUGAGGACAGCUCUUUGAAUGUUUGAUCUCAAAUCAGGUAGGACUGCCCGCUGAACUUAAGCAUAUCAAUAAGCGGAGGA